RNAcentral lists this ribosomal RNA (440 nucleotides) under uncultured bacterium. Its description in RNAcentral is "partial 16S ribosomal RNA". It matches the Rfam family "Bacterial small subunit ribosomal RNA", at positions 338 to 795 of the family's 1533-position model. The record is from RNAcentral.
CCUACGGGUGGCAGCAGUGGGGAAUAUUGCUCAAUGGGGGAAACCCUGAUGCAGCGACGCCGCGUGAGGGAUGAAGGUAUUCGUAAUGUAAACCCCUUUUGUUAGAGAAGAUAAUGACGGUACCUGACCAAUAAGCCCCGGCUAACUACGUGCCAGCAGCCGCGGUAAUACGGAGGGUGCAAGCGUUAUCCGGAUUUACUGGGCGUAAAGGGAGCGUAGGCGGGUGAGCAAGUCUGAUGUGAAAUGCUAUGGCCUAACCAUAGGACUGCAUUUGAAACUGUUCAUCUAGAGUAUGGGAGAGGUAGGUGGAAUUCUUGGUGUAGCGGUGAAAUGCGUAGAGAUCAAGAGGAACACUCAUGGCGAAGGCGACCUACUGGAACAUAACUGACGUUGAGGCGCGAAAGCGUGGGGAGCAAACAGGAUUAGAUACCCGGGUAGUC